Molecule: ribosomal RNA, 205 nt
Filed under: uncultured bacterium
Lineage: Bacteria
Description: partial 16S ribosomal RNA
Rfam family: Bacterial small subunit ribosomal RNA
Source: RNAcentral
ACGCUCGACACCUACGGGGGGCAGCAGUGGGGAAUAUUGGGCAAUGGGCGCAAGCCUGACCCAGCAACGCCGCGUGAAGGAAGAAGGCCCUCGGGUUGUAAACUUCUUUUGUCAGGGACGAAGCAAGUGACGGUACCUGACGAAUAAGCCACGGCUAACUACGUGCCAGCAGCCGCGGUAAUCUGAGCGGGCGUGGCAAGGGGGC